Triticum dicoccoides is the source of this 5048-nucleotide long non-coding RNA. RefSeq lists it as uncharacterized. The transcript is spliced from 4 exons. The record is from RefSeq and is a predicted model, not a curated record. NCBI's taxonomy places the organism in Eukaryota, Viridiplantae, Streptophyta, Magnoliopsida, Poales, Poaceae.
GCGACGCGUGCGCGUCGUGUCGUGCGCUUCGCCAUAGCGCACAGCCCCACGAACCCUAGCCCCCAAACUGCAGCCGCCACAAUCUUCCCUCCUUACUUCCUCGUCAACACAGGCGCCGCACCCCUCCCUUCUCCCCCCUUCCCGCAGCCCCAAGAGCUCGGCCGUACCAUUCGACGAGAUCCACCGCCUCCUGAGGUACAUAUCCACCCCAGGUCGCGAGGAAGUCGCGGGAGGAGGAGAACCCUCGUCGCAAGGAAGAUGCAGGAGGAGGAGGUCAGCCGGGCGUCGCCGGCCGAAGAAGGAGGAGAAGCGGGGAUGCCAGCCAAGGAGGCGGAUCGCCUCACCUCUACUGCACUGUGAGCGCUGCCGCUACCUCUGCCUCCACCUUGCCCCGCCGUCAUGGGAGGAGUCGCCAUGGAAGAGCAGUCGUAGGUACCACAACAUCAAAGGAGCUGCAGUCGGGUGGAGAUGAGGAUGCGUCGCUCGAUUGACAAGAGCAGGACAGUGAAUUGGAUUGAGGGCGUCUACAUGGCCACACCGCUGCUGCCGCCUAGAGUCGCCUUGGGGUGCCACCUCGAGCGGCCUCCAUCGCCGCCCCGAGUCAAGUCCACCACUGCCGCCAGGAAUCCCGUCCCCGGCAAGCUGACCUGCUGAUGUUGCUGCUGUGCUGGCCAGGGAGUGAGUCCACUGACAUAUGGACACAAGAGAUAUUCAGUUAUGAGGAUUAGGAUAUUAAUGAUUGUUCAGUCAUUGAGGAUUCGAAAAGAGGCAUCAAUGCUCCAGUAAAGGUUGUAUUGAAGUUGUGGCUGUCAAUAGUCCUUUUAUUGAUGCUAACUACAUGGCCUAUAUGUUCAAGUAUGACUCCACUAAUGGCCCCUUUAGAGGAUCCAUUAAGGUCGUGGAUGAUUCAAUACAGGAGAUUAAUGGAAAAAAAAAUCACAACCACAAGCAAAAGGUAAAUAUGCCAGGGUUAGCUGAUUGUUUGCCAUAUUAGUGUGGUUGAUAUAGAUGUCAUGGUUUCUAAAUAUGCAUGACAUGUUGUCCUGAAAUAAGGACAUGUGAAGCAAUGAAGUCGCCAAAGUAACAUUAUUACUUAAUAAUCGAUUCAUAGUUUAGAGCCCCAUGUUUUUUGCACAUUCAUACUGACAUAUAAUAGCUUACAAGUGCACGCUUGUUGUACAUCUCGAGUACUGGAUGUUCCUUCUCUUAUUUUGAUUCUGAUGUUCAUAUGUUAAUUUUCUGCGAUGGAGGGAAGGGAGAAGUCUGAAUGUGCCAACAAGUAGCGACCAGUGAGCUGUCGUCUAUGAUUGGCUAUGGGAGGAGUUGUCUUGCGCUGCAAGGGCAUCUUGCAGAUCGAUUUCCUUGGUUUGAUGUAUCUCGGAUUCUGAUUAGUCUUUGAUUUCACACAUUUGUUUGGAUAUUUUCUUUGCGCCAAGCACCAUGAUUUUUUUAUCACUAGUCAACAUGCACAGUACUAUCUAAGCAUAGUUGUUGGUUCUGAGCUUUUGCAGCACAUAACAAAUCUUAGCUUUCAGGAAUUAUGAUAUUGGCCAUUUCCACUGAACAUGAAGAGGGUACAUGUAUGGACAUGUAGAAACUGGAGUGAAUUAACAUAAUCCCAUAGAAUGUAGUCUGAGAAAUGAGAAUAGUACGCCAACUCAGUGAGGCAAGUACCGGCCUGUUUUGCCAUCCCUGUGAUAAAUGAAAGUUAGUUUAGGUAAUCUUGGUUAUAAAAUCAUUUUCUUAAAGGCUUAACUUAUAACUUGACAGAAAUUUUUAUUGCACCUGAAUAUUUGAUUAUGAAUCUAAGUUAUGGGAAAUAGGUGGAGUAAGAGGAAAUGGGGCGUUGUUAGGCGGGACCUUGCCACUGUUGCCUUGGGUUUUGGCAUCGAAGCACCACCAUGUAUGGCUAGCCUUCCAUGGCUACAUCGAGGGUCCCAAUCUGCAGGACCCCAUGCAGUGUGCAUUGGACAGUGUUGUGGAGGGUCCAAUUUCCUCAUGAUUUAAGAAGCUCUGUGUAGUAUCAAACUUAAUUUGAGAACACUGGCUUGUUUUGUAGUCCAUUCCCAGCACAUGUGUUCAGAAGACUGGACACAUCUUGUACUUGCUUGAAAUUUUCUUUCCAUAAAAAGUUCCUUGGAAGGGAUUGCGAAGUUAAACGAGCAUGUCCCUUUUUCAUCUAUUUACAGUGUGUUUUCUUUUGGUUUCACCACAUUUUUAGGUUCACAUUUUUUACAGAUUACGUAUAGGAGGCAUUGAUGAUGGAACAUGAAUGCCCAUUGUUCUUGUUUGCUCCUGAUCUUAGUAGACCUGUGAUGUGCUCUUGAUCCUUUCUCUUUUUUUUGUUAAAUGAGUCUCUGACUGAGGACAUGUUCUUUAAUUAGAUUGCAAUCAUGAAACUUUUUUUUGGGGUUUCUUAUUGUAAAAUACAAAGCUUCCAAAUUGUUUGAUCCUGGAAAUAAGUUAGCAAAUUUUUGUGUGCAGUGAGCUGGGAGCCGGGGUCAUCCCUGUCACCACCAGUCGAACAUACUACUUCAGCCACCAUGUUGAGCGAUAUAAAAGUGUUCUCUGUUUCAUAGAGCAACAACACGAGAUUGUGCCCCCUCUUGCUCCUGGUGCAUGUUGCUGCCCUCCUUCCCCCUCUGAUUUGACUUGCUUUACAUUGCGUGAAGUUGUUUACUUUCAACUUUACAAAGCUAUAUCAAGUUCACAACUGUACUUGGCUACAACUGUAACAUGAUGCAUUUCUCUUCCAGUUUAUUGAAUAUAUUUUUAAGGAUUGAAUGUUCUAUCUGGUACUGUCCUAUCACUCAUUUAACUAUCUUAAUUUGUUCACAAAACUCCUUCUGUAGCUAAGAUUUCUUUGUACAACACGUACUAAUUAUUGGUCUUAUUCUUAAAUCUUAUUUCACGUUAUUCAGCUGCAGGCUGGGUUAAGAUUGUUUUUGUGCCAGAAACAGACUAAGCAAUGCUCUAACCUUAAAGGGCAACCUGGUGCAUGUAGCUCCCGCUUGCGCAGGGUCCAGGGAAGGGUCCGACCACUUUGGGUCUAUAGUACGCAGCCUUUCCCUACAUUUCUGUAAGAGGCUGUUUCCAGGACUUGAACCCAUGACCUCAUGGUCACAAGGCAGCAGCUUUACCACUGCGCCAAUGCUCUAACCUUGGCAGCAAAAAUUGUCUAAAUUCCAUAAAUAAGGUCGUGGAACAUCUUUGAAUACGUUCAUUUAAAUAUCUUGAGUCGACCUAUAUGGGUUGCUUCUGUGCACACUCUCUUUGAUAUGAAUUUAUAGGAGAGAAAUUCUUUCAUGGUAAUGAUGUAUUAUCGAUAUUUACUCUGUUUCUUAGGCAUAUAAGUUUCUUUUUGUGGGAUGCAAUUACGGCACCAUAUGAAUAUGAUCCUUGAGUUGCAUAACAUUUAUAAAGAAUGUCUUGGAAAUUGCAAGUAGAUGAUUACGUUUACCCUGUAACUUUAGGAGUAAGAUAUAUAUGGUGAUUGAAUCUAGAGAUGCUUGCUAAUCUAUAACGUUAAGAUCCAGUCAUGUGCAAUAUGUUUUAUUCAUAGAAACUUGGAAUCAAUCUGGCUGAAAGUAAUCAUCUUAUGGCGUGGCAUGAAGAGGUAGUUCACAAACCUCUGUUAGGUGCUCCAUCCUUUGUCACUCUGAUUUGCUUUCCUAAUAUCUGGCUUCUCUGAACAGAUGUGUGCAGAUUUGAGAAAGAAGAGGAAUAAUCCAGCAGAAGAAUUUGGUGAAUAAGAACAACUUGGCAUUUCUCUCUUGUGAACAGAGUCAUGCCUGCCUUUUGAUUUUAUUGUUUGUGCUAAUGCAAACAAGAAUUCUCUAUAGUUCUUGACGCAACACCUCUAAUUACUCAAUCUGCAAUACAUGAUUAGGAGAAGUUUAGUGCAUGAAUUAGCAUUCUAUAAAGUCCGUCUAAGCUCAUGUCUCUAGGCCAGGGUAGAUUUCUCAAUAUCAUUUUUGGGAUUGUUUGAACACUGAACAACAUUGCCAGGUCAACCAUUUCUCAUGUAUUUGUCAUAUCUGUAGGUAUUGUGGUGUCUCAAUUUUGUCACCAGCCUCUUUUACCGACCUGUAAACUAUCUGUCUCGAGGUCUCCCUGACUGUAUUUGGGUUUAGAAAAACAAAUAACUAUUUUUGGACUUAUUUUUGCAUCAGCUACUUUGUAGGUAUUAUGUGUGUUGUUAGGGAUCUGAUAUUAUGUAGUUCCAGGGAUUUCAGACGGCCUGGUCAGUCCAUUGUUCUUUCCAUGUGAUACUUUUUCUCAGUAUUGUGAUCAUCAGUGCUCUUGACACUGGUUACUUUUUCUUAUUACUGUGAUCGUCAGUGCUCUUAACAUUGGUUGUUCUUGCUUUAUGGUUGCCUUCCCAGUGCACCUUUAUUACUUCUAACAUAUUAAUUUUAAUAUGCUUGAUUGACCAUAUUAUAUAUUUCACUUCACCGGGGUGGUUGCUGGAAGUGUUGGUUAAAAUAUUUUGGCUAAAACAUUGUCUCUAAUUAUCAAGUUUAUACAGUUGAAUCUUCUUGAUUGACUAUUUUGUAGCCUGCUCUUAGUUGUACAAUAUUAAUUCUUAAAACUGGAUCUCUUAAAAUUAGUUAAAUUUAAUGAGUUGUUUCACUGUUUUCAAAUAAGUAGCUUCAGCCCCAACUGUGUCCUAAAGCUUAUUUUACUGCCUUUUCAAAUAAGUUUUUUUCCUUGGCACUACUAUCACUGUGUACAGAUGGUUACUGAAAGAAGAAGUAUUCAAGCAGCAUACCUUCACUUGACAGAUGCUUUAACCGCAAGAACUGUUGUUAUUUUCUUUUCCUUUGCUGCAAUAAUGGUAGUUCUCCUUCGAUUCUAGAAGCCACAAAGGAGUGAAGGGUAGAGAUUUCAAUUGUUGUUGAAUUGGUGGGAUUUUCACCAAGUUAGUGUUGCAGAUUGUUUCUAUUUUAGGGCAAGAAGCCAAAUCAUAUUGUUCAUUGUAAAUCUUGAAAAACUUGUUUACUGUCAAUUCUAUAUCUAUUAUAAACUUUUUCCUGGUGUGGUACUUA